RNAcentral lists this ribosomal RNA (299 nucleotides) under Escherichia coli. RNAcentral's name for it is "partial 16S ribosomal RNA". It matches the Rfam family "Bacterial small subunit ribosomal RNA", at positions 481 to 779 of the family's 1533-position model. The record is from RNAcentral. Lineage: Bacteria; Pseudomonadati; Pseudomonadota; Gammaproteobacteria; Enterobacterales; Enterobacteriaceae. RNAcentral also lists the same sequence under 1 other name.
GCAGAAGAAGCACCGGCUAACUCCGUGCCAGCAGCCGCGGUAAUACGGAGGGUGCAAGCGUUAAUCGGAAUUACUGGGCGUAAAGCGCACGCAGGCGGUUUGUUAAGUCAGAUGUGAAAUCCCCGGGCUCAACCUGGGAACUGCAUCUGAUACUGGCAAGCUUGAGUCUCGUAGAGGGGGGUAGAAUUCCAGGUGUAGCGGUGAAAUGCGUAGAGAUCUGGAGGAAUACCGGUGGCGAAGGCGGCCCCCUGGACGAAGACUGACGCUCAGGUGCGAAAGCGUGGGGAGCAAACAGGAUU